RNAcentral lists this ribosomal RNA (424 nucleotides) under uncultured bacterium. Its description in RNAcentral is "bacterial SSU rRNA". It matches the Rfam family "Bacterial small subunit ribosomal RNA", at positions 355 to 776 of the family's 1533-position model. The record is from RNAcentral.
UGAGGAAUAUUGGACAAUGGAGGCAACUCUGAUCCAGCCAUGCCGCGUGCAGGAUGACUGCCCUAUGGGUUGUAAACUGCUUUUAUAUAGGAAGAAACACUCCCACGUGUGGGGGCUUGACGGUACUAUAUGAAUAAGGAUCGGCUAACUCCGUGCCAGCAGCCGCGGUAAUACGGAGGAUCCAAGCGUUAUCCGGAAUCAUUGGGUUUAAAGGGUCCGCAGGCGGCCUGUUAAGUCAGAGGUGAAAGCCAACAGCUCAACUGUUGAACUGCCUUUGAUACUGAUAGGCUUGAGUUAUUGUGAAGUGGUUAGAAUGUGUGGUGUAGCGGUGAAAUGCUUAGAUAUCACACAGAAUACCCAUUGCGAAGGCAGAUCACUAACAAUAUACUGACGCUCAUGGACGAAAGCGUGGGGAGCGAACGGG